Long non-coding RNA from Vidua chalybeata, 4367 nucleotides. RefSeq lists it as uncharacterized. The record is from RefSeq and is a predicted model, not a curated record. Lineage: Eukaryota; Metazoa; Chordata; Aves; Passeriformes; Viduidae. The transcript is spliced from 2 exons.
ACAACAAAAAAAACCUCACAAAGUUAAUGCUGGAAACAAAAAUGUCAUGGGUUAAGUGUCUACCUCUUGCCUUAUUGAACAUUCGAACUCAACCCCAAACUAAUGUGGGAAUCUCUCCAUUUGAAAUGUUAUUUAGAAUGCCCAAAGAUCACCCCUGCCUAAAAGAUGCUCAUAUUAAAUUUUACAUCACCCAAAUUAUGAGCAGAAGGCAGGACUUGAGGAAGAAAGAAGUGUUGGCACAGAGACCACCAAUCCAUAAGAUAAAACCAGGAGAUCAAGUAUCACAGAAACGGCAGUCAAGACGGCCGAAAAGGGGUGGACUCACGCCAGCCAAGUGAAAGGCCCGGUUGCCACAAAUAACCAGUGGAGAGUGACUAGCCAGCCUGGGAACUUGAAAGUGACUCUUAAGAAAAACUAAUGAACUCUGUGGACAUCAUCCAAAUCAACCAUAAGGGGAAGCAAAGGGAUACAAUUACAAACUAGCUAAAGACUAUAUAGUGAUUUGUAACAAGGAAGGUUGUGGAGAUUGUUAUCCUUUUGUGUGCUUUAUAUGUAAAAUUUGCCAAGAACGGUGGUGGGUCCAUUGCCAGAGGGGAAGACCACCAAUUGGGGUUUGUACUGAGUGCUAUAAAACUCAGCGAAAACUAACUGAAACUGUGCCAAGGAUAGGAGAACUGGAAAAUCGGUGGGUCAAUUUUGGAUCUGAGUGGUGGGAAAUAUUUACCAAGGGAGUAUACCCUGAGUAUUUUUGUUUUCAUACUAACGAGCCCACUCCAUUUGCUGCUCAGAUAAUAAAAGGGUGUUGUCGAAAGGAACUGAAGGGGAUUCCUUGCAACCCACUUCUGGCCAAAGAUAAGAACUGGGAACAGUACAAGGCUAGGCAGGAGCGGAAAAGGGGACGCUCAGGCGAGUACUGCUGCUGCCGAGAAGAUGGUUUACCUCGCGGCUCGAAGCACCCGAGUCGGCGAGCGAGGCAGAGAGGAAAAGGCCAAGCCCCCUCUAAGUGGAACAAUGCUGAAAUGCUCCAACUACUGCCAGCCGAGUACUAGGAUCCCUCAAAGGACCAGUCUAAGUGCCUCCGAAACACCAAGGGAGCAGCAAGCCAAAAAGGGGAAAACAGGAUAUUACAAAACAAAAUCAAGGCUAGGACUCCACCCUUAUUGGCGAAUUAUUAGUUUUCUAUUGCUCUGUCCUAGUGGUGUUUCUAGUCAGGACAAUGCUAAACACUUUACUUCUAGCCUACGAAACAGCAAAGCGAUUUGAUGAACGAAAUGGUAAAAGAGAAAAUGGGGGAUUGUGAUAAACUGUGGUAACUUGUUUGUUCAUCAAAGGAAUUGGAAUAUUAAAGGAGGAAAAAUAAAAUUAAAGUAUGAGGGACUAGCUUGCUUGUUAGGAGAUAGGGGAAGCAUCUGUGAAGUUGGGAAACAGCAACUUGUGGGUUUUACUAAAAAAAGGACAAUAAAGAAGCAACUGCUACAAACCGCAAGGCUAUAGGCAUAUUGCAAGGCUAUAGACAUAUUGCAAAACGCAAGACCGCAAGUAUGAUUAAUCACCAUUUAGGGAGCUUUUCUUAGCUUCUCUUGCAGACACAGGCUAAGGAUGUUGGGGGAUGGCCGGAGCUGAUUAUGAAAUCAGCGACCACCAGGCAACGGCCACCGGACUAGACAACGUAGGAGUGCUCUGGGUACGCCCAUCACUGUCCGGAACCGAUUGUGAAACCAACGAUCACCUGCCUCGACACAACGCAGACACGAUGCAGAGGGAUGCUCAAGCUACGCCCACCGCUAUCACAAGAGACGCGAAUGAAGAAACCUCCAAGAAACUAUAAAAGAGACUGAAUAAGGGGGGUGGGGUGUGGGGCACUGCAGUGUGGGACACUGCAGGAGGGGCGGUUAGGAGACCCCUACCCACCCAGCGCUGUUUUGCUUGCUACUGCUUGCUGUAAUUAAUAAAAUUCUAAAUGACCUUCAAAAGGCUGAAUCAAAUUAUUCGCCUCAAUUUAUCACAGGGAGAAGGCUAAAGGGAGGGGAAAUAUAACAUUAACCAGUGGGGAAAAGGGAAAGGAGUGUUCUUGGUGGAAGAACCAAAGGGAAAACGUGGAACAGAGAAGAUUCUAGGCUAAGGGGCAGACUUGAACAAUAACCGACAGGACAGGGGGAGGGUACAAUUCUCUUACAAAAGGGGGUGGAGAACUCAUACAACUGCUGUUUCCCAUGGCAACCCUAGACUGCCUUCCCCAACCCCUCCUCCUACACCAGUGACAGCUUUUCACACUGAAGGCAAGUGCUAUUGUAUAACAAACACUUAACUCUUAGCCCAGCCGGGCUCGCUGGCUACUUUUGCAAGCUUUUUACCAACUAGCGAGGCUUGUAAGCGGUGCUUGUAACUCCUAGCUUGUACCACGCUCCCACUAGCUGCGCUAUCAGCUAGCGGCGUUCAAAGCAGCUCCUCAAACCGCGGCUUGUGCCCGCGCGCCCGCUGCGCUAUCAGCUGGGCUGCGCCUAAAGCACCUUUGCAAGCCCCGACUUAAGCCCCGCGCCGCGCUCCCCUCGCUCGCCAGGGACAGCCCGUGCCACGCAUGCGCACCACCCGCUCUAUCAGGUAGAGUGCGCACUACCCGCACUAUCAGGUAGUGUGGCUGAGAGCUGCCCUGCGCAUGCGCCCCACCCGCUCGAUCAGGUAGAGUGGCUGCUAGCCGCCCCGAGCAUGCGCACUACCCGCACUAGCAGGUAGUGUGGCUGAGCUGCCCCGCGCAUGCGCACUACCCGCACUAGCAGGUAGUGUGGGCUGAGAGCUGCCCUGCGCAUGCGCUCUCUAGCACUGCCGCGCCGCGUCUCUCUAUCUUAGCAACGCCGCACCGCGCAUCACCGUUCCACUCACACAUACACACACACGCACAAGCACGCACGUCCGGACGUAACAGACACACUACACUGCAAUCGGGACACACACCACACACUGAAAUCGCGAUUUCGCCCUCCCCGAGCCGCGCUAUCAGCUGGGGAGGUCCUCCCGCCGCCGGCCUCUCCCCCGAUGGCGGUCUGCUUGCAAGCCCCUAGGCAAACCUGCGCGCAAAAACAUCUUUUUGCGACUUAUCAGUGCCAACCUUAAGAAAAUAAAUUAAUACAUACCGCUUUCAUCCGCUAGUCGACGGGCCGUGGUAUGCUCCUCGCAGUGUACAGCCGAGGCGCAGAGUCCCUCCGGGGAAAAGCCCCGUGGCGCCUGAGGGUGUCUGCUCCCAACCGGACCUGCAGGUGAGCAGAGCAGUCCCUUCGUGGUCGCCAACUGAAACGAUACGCGGAAUAAAUCAAUAGACUCCAUAACCUGGGUUAGUUAUGAAGUGGGUAUGUACGUCAGCGCCCGGCACAAGUGAGAUAGCUCUCCAAAACUUGUGCCCCGAGCCUCAGUCUGACCCACACUUUUAUUCUUAAAGACGUUCCAUAUGCAAUACACUGCACGACUUUUUCAUGCGUAUUCAACCCCUGGCCCCGCCUGUCCUCGCUUCUCCUGCUAACAGCUGCCACCGUGUUCUCUGCAUCUCGGAGCCUCUGGGGAGCAACAAGAAUUUCCACGGUGGUGUAAGAGCCCGUCUGAAGCCCCUCAUUUUCCGUUCUGCCUUCCGAUUGCCACGAGAAAGAAUCCCUUCCUCCACUGCAGUUCCGGCUUAGAACAGGACACAGUGCAGGUGCAACCACUGAACCGUCAUGCUAGCUGUUCCGAACAAGGCCUGGCAAGAACUUGGCAAGGACUUGGCAAGGACUUGGCAAAGACCUGACGUGGACCCAGCACGGGACAGCCUGAUGCGCGGCCUGCUUCUAAUCUCCGUUCUUAAGCCAAAUGAACUUUUGGGGUGACUCCCGGGGUCCUUCAUUGAAGACCCCUCAUCUGCCUCAUUACCAGUGUGACAAACAAAGAAUGAGAACCCUCCUCCCAAGGACUGAGACUGAGACCCCUGCUAUAGGGAGGAGGGGAAAUUGGUGGUCUGACCACUAAUGACAUGACCUGUUUCCCUUCAGUGAUUCAAAUGGACUUAUUCUUCAUUGUAUUCGUCUUGCUUUGGUGGUUUCUGUGGACUCACCUGUUCCCGCGUGGCGAUUACAAUGGACUUUCGUUGUUACACUUGCUCCCCCCUCUUUCCUCUGUGGACUAUAACUGGAGCCCCGAGUCGACCAGAACUUCGGAGACUCCCCCGACACGACAGACGGAACCCCAUCGUCCGGACCACUGAGGAUCUCGCCUGUGUUGGUAGCUAUUCCCAUACCCCUCUUCUCUCUCUCUCUCUCUCCUUUUAUCUCCUUUCCGAUCCCCACUAUCGCAUUUACUGGUUUGGCCCCUAAUAAAGGUGCAUUUGUUGUGAUUAACUGAUA